GACGAACGCUGGCGGCGUGCUUAACACAUGCAAGUCGAACGGAAAGGCCCUGCUUUUGUUGGGUGCUCGAGUGGCGAACGGGUGAGUAACACGUGAGUAACCUGCCCUUGACUUUGGGAUAACUUCAGGAAACUGGGGCUAAUACCGGAUAGGAGCUCCUGCUGCAUGGCGUGGGUUGGAAAGUUUCGGCGGUUGGGGAUGGACUCGCGGCUUAUCUGCCUGUUGGUGUGGUAGUGGAUUACCAUGGCUUUGACGGCUAGCCGGCCUGAGAGGGAGACCGGCCACAUUGGGAUUAGGGUAGGAGCAGGACUCAUACGGGAGGCAUGAAUGGAAAUCAUGGCAAAAUGGGCGGAAGCAGUAUACAGCGUCGUCGGGUGGGGAAUGACGGUCUUCAGGUUGGAAACCGUUUGCGCCUGUAAAGAAGCGAGAGUGACGGUAAUGGAUAAAAAAGCAACGGCUAACUACGUG
RNAcentral lists this ribosomal RNA (468 nucleotides) under uncultured bacterium. Its description in RNAcentral is "partial 16S ribosomal RNA". It matches the Rfam family "Bacterial small subunit ribosomal RNA", at positions 28 to 507 of the family's 1533-position model. The record is from RNAcentral.